GGAGGAAGCAAGCAAGUAUUAUGUUUUCUACGGUCUUUUGAUCAUCCACGAGUUAAUUAUUCGUCGCGGAUGGAACAAGUUAUCACUUGAAGAACAAUGCAGCAUUAAAUCGUUCUUAUUGCAGCUUGGUACAAGCUCACAUUCAGCAUUGUCGACGCACUUAACUCACAAUAAACUCUCUGCAGUAAUAACAAUCGUAGCAACACUAGAAUGGCCUGAAAAAUGGCCGGAACUUUUUUCUACUUUACAAGCCACACCUUGUUAUAACUCCACCGUGAUUGCUCUCAUUUCGUUGCGCGAUCUCAUUAAUAUAUGCUACAACACGUGUACUAGUCCUGUUGAUAUAUGUUUGGAAAGACAACGAGUUAUUGCUAAAAAUUUAGAAAAAGGUGUUUCCGAAAUAAGUCGAAUUUUGCAAAAUGCUUUUUUUUUUAUUACCGAUGAAACGGCCUGUAAUAAAGUGGCAUCACAGACGGCGGGAAGUCGUAGCGAAGAUACAAAAUUAACUUUAAUCA
Molecule: long non-coding RNA, 515 nt
Organism: Hylaeus volcanicus
Lineage: Eukaryota; Metazoa; Arthropoda; Insecta; Hymenoptera; Colletidae
Exons: 3
Source: RefSeq, a predicted model, not a curated record